Molecule: non-coding RNA, 2286 nt
Organism: Oryctolagus cuniculus (rabbit)
Lineage: Eukaryota; Metazoa; Chordata; Mammalia; Lagomorpha; Leporidae
Source: RefSeq, a predicted model, not a curated record
CACAGCGCCUCCCUGCCUCUCCUGAGGGCUGUGGGGGAGCGGUGCGGCCCCUGUGCCUUCAUCAUGACCUCUCCUCCCCCCGCAUCAACUUCCCUCCACCCUUUAGGCGAACAGCAUGGACAGGACAGAGAUCAGUGUAACACAGGAGGGACAGGACAGAUGUCAGUGUAACAUAGGGGGGACAGGACAGAGAUCAGUGUAACACAGGGGGGACAGGACAGAGAUCAGUGUAACACAGGGGGACAGGACAGAGAUCAGUGUAACACAGGGGGACAGACAGAGAUCAGUGUAACACAGGGGAGACAGGACAGACAUCAGUGUAACACAGGGGGACAGGACAGAGAUCAGUGUAACACAGGGGGACAGGACAGAGAUCAGUGUAACACAAGAGGGACAGGACAGAGAUCAGUGUAACACAGGGGGACAGGACAGACAUCAGUGUAACACAGGGGGACAGGACAGAUGUCAGUGUAACACAGGAGGACAGGACAGAGAUCAGUGUAACACAGGAGGGACAGGACAGAGGUCAGUGUAACACAGGGGGACAGGACAGACAUCAGUGUAACAUAGGGGGGACAGGACAGAGAUCAGUGUAACACAGGGGGGACAGGACAGAGGUCAGUGUAACACAGGGGGACAGGACAGACGUCAGUGUAACACAGGGGGACAGGACAGAGAUCAGUGUAACACAGGGGGACAGGACAGAGAUCAGUGUAACACAGGGGGGACAGGACAGAGAUCAGUGUAACACAGGAGGGGCAGGACAGAGGUCAGUGUAACACAGGAGGACAGGACAGAGAUCAGUGUAACACAGGAGGGACAGGACAGACGUCAGUGUAACACAGGGACAGGACAGAGAUCAGUGUAACACAGGGGGACAGGACAGAGAUCAGUGUAACACAGGAGGACAGGACAGACAUCAGUGUAACACAGGGGGACAGGACAGACAUCAGUGUAACACAGGGGGACAGGACAGACGUCAGUGUAACACAGGGGGACAGGACAGAGAUCAGUGUAACACAGGAGGACAGGACAGACAUCAGUGUAACACAGGAGGGACAGGACAGAGAUCAGUGUAACACAGGGGGACAGGACAGAGGUCAGUGUGACACAGGAGGGACAGGACAGACAUCAGUGUAACACAGGGGGACAGGACAGAGAUCAGUGUAACACAGGGGGACAGGACAGAGAUCAGUGUAACACAGGGGGGACAGGACAGAGGUCAGUGUAACACAGGGGGACAGGACAGAGGUCAGUGUAACACAGGGGGACAGGACAGAGAUCAGUGUAACACAGGGACAGGACAGACAUCAGUGUAACACAGGGGGACAGGACAGACGUCAGUGUAACACAGGAGGGACAGGACAGAGAUCAGUGUAACACAGGGGGACAGGACAGACGUCAGUGUAACACAGGGGGACAGGACAGACAUCAGUGUAACACAGGGGGACAGGACAGAGAUCAGUGUAACACAGGGGGACAGGACAGAGAUCAGUGUAGCACAGGCAGGCAUUCUUGCAAAGCAGGGUAAGCUGUUAACGGGACGCACGUAUCAGUGUUCGAGGCUCAGCUGCUCCGCUCCCAAUCUAGCUUCCUGCAGAUAGGCCUGGGGUGCAGUGGAUGAUGGCCCGAGUAUUUGGGUGCCUUAUCCCUAAGUAAGGGACAUGUGUGGAGUUCCAGGCUCCUGGCUUCAGCCUGACCAAACUCCAGCUUUUGCAGGCAUUUGGGGAGUAAAGCAGCAGAUGGAAGAUUUCUUUUGCUGUCCUUCUCACUCCCUCUGUCCCUCAGUCUUUAAAUAACUAUUUUUAAGAAACGAGAGAUCAGUGUUGUAUACUAUGCUUCUGGAAAUCAGAUUGUGUUUCCUGAAAGUCUUUACAAUAGAAUCAGACACAACAUGUGGGCAGAGGGACAGCAGGCAGAUGCUAUAGCGGAGUGGCGCUGGGGGCCAGCAUUGUGGCAUGGCAGGUGAACACUGCAUCCCGAAGGAGCCCUGGUUCAAACCCAGCUGCUCCACUCCAAAUCAGCUCCCUGCUAGUGCACCUGGGAAAGCAGUGGAGGACGGCCCAGGUGCUUGGGCCCCGCACCCAUGUGGGAGACCCGGACGGAGUUCCUGGCUCCUGGCCCAGGGCCUGCUCUUGUGGCCAUUUGGGAAGUGAAUAAGCAGAUGGUAGAUCUUGCUCUCUCUCUCUCUGUCUCUGUCUCUCCCCUCACUCCUCUUUCCCUCCUCUCUCCAUUACGCUACCUUUCAAACAAAUAAAUAUAAUAUAUAAAAAAAAAAAAAAAAAA